GGAAGAGCCAUAGAUCAGUGGUAGAGCAUCUGCUUUGCAUGCAGAAGCUCCCAUGUUCAAUCCCUGACUUUUCCU
Molecule: non-coding RNA, 75 nt
Organism: Podarcis lilfordi (Lilford's wall lizard)
Lineage: Eukaryota; Metazoa; Chordata; Lepidosauria; Squamata; Lacertidae
Source: the annotation of a GenBank genome assembly